CACGGUCCAGGCUCCUACGGGAGGCAGCAGUGGGGAAUAUUGCGCAAUGGGCGAAAGCCUGACGCAGCGACGCCGCGUGGGGGAUGAAGCUUCUCGGAGUGUAAACCCCUUUCGACCCGGACGAAUGACCCGCAAGGGUUUGACGGUACGGGUAUAGGAAGCCCCGGCUAACUACGUGCCAGCAGCCGCGGUAAUACGUAGGGGGCCAGCGUUGCUCGGAAUUACUGGGCGUAAAGGGUUCGUAGGUGGUGCGGUAAGUUGGGAGUGAAAUCUCUGGGCUUAACUCAGGGGCUGCUUUCAAAACUGCCGUGCUCGAGUGCGAGAGAGGUCAGUGGAAUUGCAGGUGUAGCGGUGAAAUGCGUAGAUAUCUGCAGGAACACCCGUGGCGAAGGCGGCUGACUGGAUCGCAACUGACACUGAGGAACGAAAGCUAGGGGAGCAAACAGGAUUAGAUACCCUGGUAGUCCUAGCCCUAAACCAUCAGAACUUGGGGUGGCCCGCGUAGGCGGGUCGUCCCGUAGCUAACGCGUUAAGUUCUGCGCCUGGGGAGUACGGUCGCAAGACUGAAACUCAAAGGAAUUGACGGGGGCCCGCACAAGCGGUGGAACAUGUGGUUCAAUUCGACGCAACGCGAAGAACCUUACCUGGGCUUGAACCGCUACUGACCAACGGUAGAAAUAUCGUCUUCUCGCAAGAGACAGUAGUAGAGGUGCUGCAUGGCUGUCGUCAGCUCGUGCCGUGAGGUGUUGGGUUAAGUCCCGCAACGAGCGCAACCCUUACUCGUAGUUGCUACCCGCAAGGGAGAACUCUACGAGGACUGCUCCGGAUAACGGAGAGGAAGGUGGGGAUGACGUCAAGUCAGCACGGCCUUUAUGUCCAGGGCUACACACGUGUUACAAUGCAUGGUACAGACUGUUGCGAACCCGCGAGGGGGAGCUAAUCGGCCAAAGCCAUGCUCAGUUCGGAUUGCAGUCUGCAACUCGGCUGCAUGAAGCUGGAAUCGCUAGUAAUGGCGUAUCAGAUCGACGCCGUGAAUACGUUCCCGGGCCUUGUACACACCGCCCGUCACAUCACGAAAGUGAGCUGUACUAGAAGUCGCCGAGCCAACCUAACGGAGGCCAGCGCCCAAGGUAUGGCCCAUGAUUGGGGUGAAGUCGUAACAAGGUAGCCGUAGGAGAACCUGUGGCUGGAUCACCUCCUUA
Molecule: ribosomal RNA, 1202 nt
Filed under: uncultured bacterium
Lineage: Bacteria
Description: bacterial SSU rRNA
Rfam family: Bacterial small subunit ribosomal RNA
Source: RNAcentral